Long non-coding RNA from Amphiprion ocellaris (clown anemonefish), 490 nucleotides. RefSeq lists it as uncharacterized. NCBI's taxonomy places the organism in Eukaryota, Metazoa, Chordata, Actinopteri, Pomacentridae. The record is from RefSeq and is a predicted model, not a curated record. The transcript has 2 exons.
UAGACUCUGCUUUCAUUUGGUGGACUGAGCUGUCAAUCAAAUGGCUCUGGGCGGGGCUUUCUGUCCAGGGUGGGUAGUCGUACCUGAUCACAGGAUUCCUUCCUGACGGCAGCUCCUAGCAUGGCUGAAGUCAAGUGAUGGCACCGUGUCGCUUCGGCUGAUUCUACCAGCAGACACUGAAAGGGCUCUGAUAGUUUGGUGUCUCAUGUUCACUGUGAGGAUCUUCUGAGUGAAGCCAACAGAAGAAAAACCUCAUCUGGUUGUGAAGAAGGAGACUGAAUGGACGACAUCCUCAGUGAACCACUUCCUGUUUAACUUUCAGUUACAGAAGGACAGACCAACUCUCAGCAGUUUAUUAUUCUCUGUUCUUAGUAUUCACAGGUUCUAUUUAUCACCUUUAACUGCAUCUCUGCUGUUGGAGCAGAAAUACAAUAUAAAAAGUCCAUGUUAUUUAUAGCAAAUAUGCAGCAUUAAAACAUCAACACAUUCA